GAUGAACGCUGGCGGCGUGCCUAAUACAUGCAAGUCGAGCGAACGGACGAGAAGCUUGCUUCUCUGAUGUUAGCGGCGGACGGGUGAGUAACACGUGGAUAACCUACCUAUAAGACUGGGAUAACUUCGGGAAACCGGAGCUACUACUGGAUAAUAUUUUGAACCGCAUGGUUCAAAAGUGAAAGACGGUCUUGCUGUCACUUAUAGAUGGAUCCGCGCUGCAUUAUCUAGUUGGUAAGGUAACGGCUUACCAAGGCAACGAUCCAUAGCCGACCUGAGAGGGUGAUCAGCCACACUGGAACUGAGACACGGUCCAGACUCCUACGGGAGGCAGCAGUAGGGAAUAUUCCGCAAUGGGCGAAAGCCUGACGCAGCAACGCCGCGUGAGUGAUGAAGGUCUUCGGAUCGUAAAACUCUGUUAUUAGGGAAGAACAUAUGUGGAAGUAAAUGUGGACAUUUUGACGGUACCUAAUCAGAAAGCCACGGCUAACUACGUG
Molecule: ribosomal RNA, 497 nt
Filed under: uncultured bacterium
Lineage: Bacteria
Description: partial 16S ribosomal RNA
Rfam family: Bacterial small subunit ribosomal RNA
Source: RNAcentral